Molecule: ribosomal RNA, 497 nt
Filed under: uncultured bacterium
Lineage: Bacteria
Description: partial 16S ribosomal RNA
Rfam family: Bacterial small subunit ribosomal RNA
Source: RNAcentral
GAUGAACGCUGGCGGCGUGCCUAAUACAUGCAAGUCGAGCGAACAGACGCGGCUCUUGCUCUUCUGACGUUAGCGACGGACGGGUAAGUAACACGUAGAUAACCCACCUAUAUGACUGGGACAACUUCGGGAAACCGUAGUUAAUACUGGGUAAUAUAUUGAACCGCAUGGUUCUAGAGUGAAAUAUGGUUUUGCUGUCAAUUAUAGAUCGAUCCGCGCCGCAUUAGCUAGUUGGUAAGGUAAGGGCUUAACAAGGAAACGAAGGGUAGCCGACAGGAGAGGGUGAUCGGCCACACUGGAGCGGGAACACGGUCCAGACGCCUGCGGGAGGCAGCAGUAGGGAAUCGUCCGCAAUAGGCGGAAACCUGACGGAGCGGCGCCGCGUGAGUGGUAGAGGUGUUCGGAGCGUAAAGCUCUGUUAUUAGGGGUAAACAAAUGUGUAAGUAACUGUACACAUCUUGACGGUACCUGAACAGAAAGCCACGGCUAACUACGUG